UACAGAGGGUGCAAGCGUUGUUCGGAAUUAUUGGGCGUAGAGCGCGUGUAGGCGGCUUUGCAAGUCGGGUGUGAAAGCCCUCGGCUCAACCGAGGAAGUGCGCCCGAAACUGCAGAGCUUGAGUGCCGGAGGGGGUGGCGGAAUUCCCCAAGUAGAGGUGAAAUUCGUAGAUAUGGGGAGGAACACCAGUGGCGAAGGCGACUACCUGGCCUGUUCUUGACGCUGAGGCGCGAAAGCUAGGGGAGCAAACGGG
This 253-nucleotide ribosomal RNA is filed under the name uncultured bacterium. RNAcentral's name for it is "partial 16S ribosomal RNA". It matches the Rfam family "Bacterial small subunit ribosomal RNA", at positions 524 to 776 of the family's 1533-position model. The record is from RNAcentral.